UUGAAUUAUUUUGAUUGGGUGAGCCUUUGCUUUGGAUCUUUGGCCGACCUUGAACAUAUGUAUUGGAAAAAAGCUUUAUUAUAUGAAAAAAGGAGAGUUAAAAAUUAAUAGAUAACAAUAAUGUGUAGGAUCUAUUUGAGCUUCAUAAUGGUUAAAAAUGAUUUAGUUGUAAAUGAGUCUUUAACACUAAUCAUAGCUCGAAAAGACAUCAUCAAAAAGUAUAAAAUUAGUCUUGUCGACAAAUUUUUAAUUCAAAAGGAAGACAUUGACUAUAACUAUAACUUCUUUCUGGUUUUAAAGAAAAAUUCAUUGAA
This 314-nucleotide long non-coding RNA is filed under the name Lathyrus oleraceus (garden pea). RNAcentral describes it as "Pisum sativum (pea) long non-coding RNA (PSAT_LNC031634)". The record is from RNAcentral. Lineage: Eukaryota; Viridiplantae; Streptophyta; Magnoliopsida; Fabales; Fabaceae.